RNAcentral lists this ribosomal RNA (701 nucleotides) under uncultured Prevotella sp. RNAcentral's name for it is "bacterial SSU rRNA". It matches the Rfam family "Bacterial small subunit ribosomal RNA", at positions 163 to 866 of the family's 1533-position model. The record is from RNAcentral. Lineage: Bacteria; Pseudomonadati; Bacteroidota; Bacteroidia; Bacteroidales; Prevotellaceae.
CUAAUACCGCAUAGUCUUCGAUGACGGCAUCAGAUUUGAAGUAAAGAUUUAUCGGUAAUGGAUGGGGAUGCGUCUGAUUAGCUUGUUGGCGGGGUAACGGCCCACCAAGGCUACGAUCAGUAGGGGUUCUGAGAGGAAGGUCCCCCACAUUGGAACUGAGACACGGUCCAAACUCCUACGGGAGGCAGCAGUGAGGAAUAUUGGUCAAUGGACGGAAGUCUGAACCAGCCAAGUAGCGUGCAGGAUGACGGCCCUAUGGGUUGUAAACUGCUUUUGUAUGGGGAUAAAGUUAGGGACGUGUCCCUAUUUGCAGGUACCAUACGAAUAAGGACCGGCUAAUUCCGUGCCAGCAGCCGCGGUAAUACGGAAGGUCCAGGCGUUAUCCGGAUUUAUUGGGUUUAAAGGGAGCGUAGGCUGGAGAUUAAGUGUGUUGUGAAAUGUAGACGCUCAACGUCUGAAUUGCAGCGCAUACUGGUUUCCUUGAGUACGCACAACGUUGGCGGAAUUCGUCGUGUAGCGGUGAAAUGCUUAGAUAUGACGAAGAACUCCGAUUGCGAAGGCAGCUGACGGGAGCGCAACUGACGCUUAAGCUCGAAGGUGCGGGUAUCAAACAGGAUUAGAUACCCUGGUAGUCCGCACAGUAAACGAUGGAUGCCCGCUGUUGGUACCUGGUAUCAGCGGCUAAGCGAAAGCAUUAAGCA